RNAcentral lists this ribosomal RNA (438 nucleotides) under uncultured bacterium. RNAcentral's name for it is "bacterial SSU rRNA". It matches the Rfam family "Bacterial small subunit ribosomal RNA", at positions 29 to 511 of the family's 1533-position model. The record is from RNAcentral.
AGCGAACGCUGGCGGCAGGCUUAACACAUGCAAGUCGAGCGCCCGUAGCAAUACGGGAGCGGCAGACGGGAGAGUAACACGUGGGAACGUACCCUUUGGUUCGGAACAACACAGGGAAACUUGUGCUAAUACCGGAUAAGCCCUUACGGGGAAAGAUUUAUCGCCGAAGGAUCGGCCCGCGUCUGAUUAGCUAGUUGGUGGGGUAAUGGCUCACCAAGGCGACGAUCAGUAGCUGGUCNGAGAGGAUGACCAGCCUCAUUGGGACUGAGACACGGCCCAAACUCCUACGGGAGGCAGUAGUGGGGAAUAUUGGACAAUGGGCGCAAGCCUGAUCCAGCCAUGCCGCGUGGGUGAUGAAGGCCCUAGGGUUGUAAAGCCCUUUCGGCGGGAAGAUAAUGACGGUACCCGCAGAAGAAGCCCCGGCUAACUUCGUGCCAG